GAUGAACGCUGGCGGCGUGCUUAACACAUGCAAGUCGAACGAAGCACUUUUACAGAUUUCUUCGGAAUGAAGUUUUAGUGACUGAGUGGCGGACGGGUGAGUAACGCGUGGGUAACCUGCCUCACACAGGGGGAUAACAGUUGGAAACGGCUGCUAAUACCGCAUAAGCGCACAGUACUGCAUGGUACGGUGUGAAAAACUCCGGUGGUGUGAGAUGGACCCGCGUCUGAUUAGCUAGUUGGCAGGGCAACGGCCUACCAAGGCGACGAUCAGUAACCGAACUGAGAGGGUGACCGGCCACAUUGGGACAGAGACACGGCCCAAACUCCUACGGGAGGCAGCAGUGGGGAAUAUUGCACAAUGGGGGAAACCCCGAUGCAGCGACGCCGCGUGAGCGAAGAAGUAUUUCGGUAUGUAAAGCUCUAUCAGCAGGGAAGAAGAAAUGACGGUACCUGACUAAGAAGCACCGGCUAAAUACAUGCCAGCCGCCGCGGUAA
This 497-nucleotide ribosomal RNA is filed under the name uncultured bacterium. RNAcentral's name for it is "partial 16S ribosomal RNA". It matches the Rfam family "Bacterial small subunit ribosomal RNA", at positions 28 to 523 of the family's 1533-position model. The record is from RNAcentral.